GUGUCGUUAUUCUAAUCGAAUUACUCAGUUUUCAAUUUACAUAUGAUUCUUAAACAAAAUUUGCAUUUUUUUUUCUUAAUUUCCGUAUAAAUUUCUUCUGUUUUUGAUCGGUAAUUAGUAAUUACUCCGUAUGAUUUUGAGUUAAGUUGAGCACUAGACAAAACAUAAUACUCUGUAUUUCUCUUUCGGCAAUCCACCAGCUGAAAAUCAGUUGUCAAAUUUUUGCACCUCUCUGAUAGCGAACCUACGGUCUUCCUCACCGUCUCUACUUGCUUCGAAACCGCCGAUUAACAGAUCGUCAACUGCGUUCUCGUCUCCGCUUUGCUUCCGCUUAAAUUCGAAAAGAAUUGGAGAGCGCAGAAUUGCAUGCGAUUACCACUGCUUCGAAAUGAAGAGUUGGCGCCUCUAGUAGAUCAGUCUGAGUGGAGCAUUAAGGAGAGAAUCCCUGCCUAUUUGAUUAUGUGUCUUCCCUUUUGAAUCAACUAAUGCUUCUGUAGUUGAGGGACAGGAACAGAAGCAUCUAGUAGAAAUCCUUGGCCACAUGGAUAGUGCUGAAGAGUCUGGUUUAAUUAAUAAGUCAUUUUUGCAAUUACGUGCUGAAGAGAGUGUGUCACAGUAGACAGCCAUGUGCAUUUUAAAUUACUGUUAUGUUACAUGAAAAAAUAUUUUUCGGCUGCUAACCACAACCAUGCACCGCCACUGCUCAAUGUAUAAAGGUGCUCAAUCUCAAAUCGAUGUUCUCAAUUGGCUGUCAAUGCAUCUAAGGGUGUCUUUGCAAUUCCCACUUCACGUGUAUUUGUCGAGCAAGUGAGGCACACACAUAUGUUCGACGAUAUCCAAGGACCGUGGAUCAAUUAGGGGGUGAAGACAAGGGCUAGAUGGGAAUGAAGGGGGGAUGUGUGAAGGUCGCAUUGCCUGGGAUCAGCUGAAAUGGAGAGGUAGACACGCCCUCCCACUCUAGUGUAGUGAUCUACAAAUUUCAAUAUAAAGUUGGCGUUACGGGCUAACUAUGCAUAUGAAGAUUCACCUCAGCAACAUGUCCGUAAGAAACAUGAAAGCUCCCAUGUUGCUUUAUGAUUGGGUGAGGUAGGAGGAGUAAGAGCUCAAGAUCUCAUAUGUUGGGACGAUCAUGAUUAGAGGUACUACGACAACACAAGAAGUAAUUUACUUUUACUCUUUUCAUUUAUUACUUCUUAUUCUAUAUUUAAUUUUCAUAUUGUUGAUUUAUUAAAUACAAAAAAUACUUAUCAAAAUAAAUAAUUGUUCAUUUUGAAUGAAAUUAGUGAAAACCCAGUAAAAAA
This is a long non-coding RNA of Salvia splendens (bonfire salvia), 1301 nucleotides long. RefSeq lists it as uncharacterized. The record is from RefSeq and is a predicted model, not a curated record. NCBI's taxonomy places the organism in Eukaryota, Viridiplantae, Streptophyta, Magnoliopsida, Lamiales, Lamiaceae. The transcript has 5 exons.